UCUCUCUCCUCCUCCUCUCAGCUCUAGACCCCUUCCACCCCUAUCUGUUUCCUCUCCCUCCUCCUCCUCUCAGCUCUAGACCCCUUCCACCCCUAUCUGUUUCCUCUCUCUCCUCCUCCUCCUCAGCUCUAGACCCCUUCCACCUCUGUUUCCUCUCUCCUCCUGUCAGCUCUAGACCCCUUCCACCCCUAUCUGUUUCCUCUCUCUCCUCCUCCUCUCAGCUCUAGACCCCUUCCACCCCUAUCUGUUUCCUCUGUCUCCUCCUCCUCUCAGCUCUAGACCCCUUCCACCCCUAUCUGUUUCUGUCUCUCCUCCUCUCAGCUCUAGACCCCUUCCACCCCUAUCUGUUUCUGUUUCCUCCUCUCAGCUCUAGACCCCUUCCACCCCUAUCUGUUUCCCCAGCUCCUCUCAGCUCUAGACCCCUUCCACCCCUAUCUGUUUCCCUGUCUCUCCUCCUCUCAGCUCUAGACCCCUUGUUUCCGCUGUCUCUCCUCCUCUCAGCUCUAGACCCCUUCCACCCCUAUCUGUUUCCCCUGUCUCUCCUCCUCUCAGCUCUAGACCCCUUCCACCCCUAUCUGUUUCCUCUCUCUCCUCCUCCUCUCAGCUCUAGAACCCUUCCAUCCCCUGUCUCUCCUCCCCCUCUCAGCUCUAGACCCCUUCCACCCCGGGGUCUAUGUGGCUGGCUGGGGGAGCAUGCCUCCCUCUAGUUUGUCCCCUCACCAGGCGACCCUCUCUGCCCAGGCCUCCCUCUCUGCCCAGGCCACAGGCCUGCCUGCCCCCACCACAGGCCUGCCUGCCUGCCCCCAGGGGACCCUCCAACCCCCAGGCAACAUGGGACAGGCCUGCUUUAGUCCCCUGCCAGAUGCCUAUUGUGUGACUGGGACACUGGGCCUGGUCUGCUGGCCUGUUUUGACUGGCUGGCUUGCUGGCAGAUGGCUAACGUUACUGGAAGAAGUCUCAAGUGGGCUGGCUGCAAGACACAUACAGGCCAACCCAAGGCCCCUGACAGAGAGGGCACACUGGGUCUGUCGUGGGGGACUUGAGGACUUGGGGGGGAGAAGCAUCAAGCCACUGCUUUGUUGAGGCUUCUUUGUCGUUGUCCUUUUGGGAGGGGUUUAAUAUCCUCGCUUGUGUUACCUUCUGUGUUAAUAUUAUCAUUGUUAUUUCUUUUAAAUCAGGUUUAUAUAUGUAUGAUUAUGGAAUAUUUUAGGGCUGAUCUGUUGCACAGGUUUGAUUUGUUUUAAAUGGUUUUAAGGCGAUUAUUUGCUUUAAAAAUAUUCAAAAAUAACAAAUACAUUUUGACAGUGGUAUUGUGUACUAGCAUUAAAGGAUCCUCUAGCAUUAAAGGAUCCUCUAGCAUUAAAGGAUCCUCUAGCAUUAAAGGAUCCUCUAGCAUUAAAGGUUUGAGGUGUUGGUUGACUAGACUGAGGGGAGGUUUGAGGAGUUGGUUGACUAGACUAAGAGGGACGGUUUGAGGAGUUGGUUGACUAGACUAAGAGGGAAGGUUUGAGGAGUUGGUUGACUAGACUAAGAGGGAAGGUUUGAGGAGUUGGUUGACCUGACGAAGAGGGAAGGUUUGAGGAGUUGGUUGACCUGACGAAGAGGGAAGGUUUGAGGUGUUGGUUGACUAGACUGAGGGGAGGUUUGAGGUGUUGGUUGACCUGACGAAGAGGGAAGGUUUGAGGUGUUGGUUGACCUGACGAAGAGGGAAGGUUUGGCUAGAAGGAAGAAUCAUAGACGUGGUCGGUUUGAAGUCAGUCAGAAGAGUGGCCUUGUCAUCUAUAAUAAUACAUUUAUGGAGUUGCGUCCUGUUUUAAAAAUGAAGGCUGGGAGGUAGAGAGUGCUUGUUGAGACGGAGUGGCCGAAUUUGAGUUUAUUAUUUCUUGCAAAAUGAAAUGUAGCUCCUUUAAGAGGAGGAAGAAACAAGCAUGAUAAAAUCCUUCUUCAAAUGGUCUCCUGUUCACGCAGCCAUUUUGCAAGUCUUUAUAUCUGUAUAAUGAUGAAAUCUUUUAAUCUGUGUUAUUUUACAGAUUAUUUUUAUGAUAUAAUGUAGGUUGCUAGUAUGUGAUUCGCAUUAUUCUGGCUUCUGCAAAUGUGUUUACCACGAUAUUGACGUUUACCAACCCACUCAUCAUUCUAUCGUUUGAUGGGUUGUAUGUAAUCCACUGUACAGUAAUGGCCCGUAUUUAAGAAAACAGAACGAGUGCUCUGCGGGAAUGGUACAAACAGAGACUAUGGCUACAUCCUAUUUAGCUAUAGGGUUGUGUGGAUAGGAAGGUGGCCUUUCUAUGUCUUCUUACUAUGGCUUCAGGUCAUGUUGAAUGAACUGCUCUGUCUGGGACAGUCUGUCAGUCCUAUGACUACUAGUGUUACUUGCUCCUGAUUUCCCAUUGAAUUGAAUCUCUCUGGGAAGUUUUGUGUUAUUUUUUUUUCCUGUCUUGCAUCAAGAAUCCAAAUCUUUAAGUUUAGUCACACACCCAAGUCACUAGGAGGGUCUUGAAUUGAAACAUAUAUAUAUAUAUAUAUAUAUGAGUUGGGAGAUCUAUACAAACCCAUCCGUCUAAGUGUGCGCAUGCCUAUGAGCUGAUUUUAUUUAUUUUAUUUGAGGUUUUUAUUUAAAAUGUUCAUUUAGUUUUUAUUUUAUCAAUGGGUUUUGAUUUUAAGUGACUGAAUCCAUUGUGAUACCGAUGAUCUCUUGCCUGGUAAGUGUGGUAUUACUGUGAUAUUUUAGAUUGAAAGCUAUGCUGUAGUGCUAUUGGCCGAUUCUGGUUCCAUAUGCAAUGUAGUGACUCAUUGAAACACAAUGGGGUCCUUCCUCAUCUGUGACACUGGGCCUCCCGGCGCCCUCCGACACUUGACCUUUAGGUCACGUGACGUACCCGACUAUUGAAUGCAAUGCACCUCCAUUUGCAUGUCAUUGACAUUGGAAGGAGGGAGACAGAAUGAGAUGGGAGGUGUUGGCGUGGUUACUCAAGCGAGGCAAGCUAGUCUCCCUGCCAGAGGGUGAUGAUGAGCUGUAGAAUUUGUGGUUGGUCGUCAAUUCGUUUUUUGGUUUUUUUUUUAUUAAGCAAUUGAAAAAAUAAACUAACUGAAAAGAGAAGUGGAAAA
Oncorhynchus tshawytscha (Chinook salmon) is the source of this 3108-nucleotide long non-coding RNA. The record is from Ensembl. NCBI's taxonomy places the organism in Eukaryota, Metazoa, Chordata, Actinopteri, Salmoniformes, Salmonidae.